AACGAACGCUGGCGGCAUGCCUAACACAUGUAAGUCGAACGAAGUCUUCGGACUUAGUGGCGCACGGGUGCGUAACGCGUGGGAAUCUGCCCUUGGGUGCGGAAUAACUUCUCGAAAGGGAUGCUAGUACCGCAUAAUGUCGUAAGACCAAAGAUUUAUCGCCCAAGGAUGAGCCCGCGUAAGAUUAGCUAGUUGGUGGGGUAAAAGCCUACCAAGGCGACGAUCUUUAGCUGGUCUGAGAGGAUGAUCAGCCACACUGGGACUGAGACACGGCCCAGACUCCUACGGGAGGCAGCAGUGGGGAAUAUUGGACAAUGGGCGAAAGCCUGAUCCAGCAAUGCCGCGUGAGUGAUGAAGGCCCUAGGGUUGUAAAGCUCUUUACCAGGGAUGAUAAUGACAGUACCUGGAGAAUAAGCUCCGGCUAACUCCGUGCCAGCAGCCGCGGUAAU
Molecule: ribosomal RNA, 449 nt
Filed under: uncultured bacterium
Lineage: Bacteria
Description: bacterial SSU rRNA
Rfam family: Bacterial small subunit ribosomal RNA
Source: RNAcentral